RNAcentral lists this ribosomal RNA (348 nucleotides) under Nematoda environmental sample. RNAcentral's name for it is "bacterial SSU rRNA". It matches the Rfam family "Eukaryotic small subunit ribosomal RNA", at positions 1300 to 1665 of the family's 1831-position model. The record is from RNAcentral. Lineage: Eukaryota; Metazoa; Nematoda.
GGUGGAGCGAUUUGUCUGGUUAAUUCCGAUAACGAACGAGACUCUAGCCUGCUAAAUAGCCAACUGAUCCGCAGCGUCGGUUGCUUAUAAUGCUUCUUAGAGGGACAGGCGGCUUCCAGUCGCACGAGAUUGGGCAAUAACAGGUCUGUGAUGCCCUUAGAUGUCCGGGGCCGCACGCGCGCUACAAUGAUAAUAGCAAAGUGCAUUAAAACCUUUUCUGGUAAGAAUUGGUAAACACGAAACAUUGUCGUGCUUGGAAUCGGGGAUUGAAAUUAUUGCCCUUAAACGAGGAAUUCCUAGUAAGUGCAGGUCAUCAGCUUGUGCUGAAUACGUCCCUGCCCUUUGUAC